CACAGGUGCUGCAUGGCUGUCGUCAGCUCGUGCCGUGAGAUGUUGGGUUAAGUCCCGCAACGAGCGCAACCCUUAUCAUUAGUUGCUACGCAAGGGCACUCUAAUGAGACUGCCGGUGACAAACCGGAGGAAGGUGGGGAUGACGUCAAGUCCUCAUGGCCCUUAUAGGUGGGGCUACACACGUCAUACAAUGGAUGGUACAAAGGGUCGCCAACCCGCGAGGGGGAGCCAAUCCCAUAAAGCCAUUCGUAGUCCGGAUCGCAGUCUGCAACUCGACUGCGUGAAGUCGGAAUCGCUAGUAAUCGUGGAUCAGAAUGUCACGGUGAAUACGUUCCCGGGUCUU
RNAcentral lists this ribosomal RNA (343 nucleotides) under uncultured Hydrogenophaga sp. Its description in RNAcentral is "bacterial SSU rRNA". It matches the Rfam family "Bacterial small subunit ribosomal RNA", at positions 1033 to 1382 of the family's 1533-position model. The record is from RNAcentral. Lineage: Bacteria; Pseudomonadati; Pseudomonadota; Betaproteobacteria; Burkholderiales; Comamonadaceae.